Molecule: long non-coding RNA, 1413 nt
Filed under: Brassica napus (rape)
Lineage: Eukaryota; Viridiplantae; Streptophyta; Magnoliopsida; Brassicales; Brassicaceae
Description: long non-coding RNA (BNAP_LNC019925)
Source: RNAcentral
UAGAGGUCAAACAAUGAUAAGAUAAAGAGAUGGGACCAGAGAUUCUGUUUAGUGAAGUAUAUUAAUAAGGUAGGAAAGGAUGAUACAUGUUUGAACUCUUAAGAAUAAAAAACGUAUUCAAUAAUCUAAGAGUUGGUCAUCUUUGUCUCUCUGAUCUCCCCGUGACUGUCUUUUGCUUUUCUUUCGUUUACAGACGACUGGUUCUUUGCCCUUCCAGCUUCCCUUCAUAGCCAUCAUUACAGCUAGCACUUGUACAACAGCAAGACAGUUAGCAGCUAUGUUCUGUAAAACGAAGAUCACCUGGAUAAAUUAUAGAAUGCUCUGUUUAACCAAAAAUCAGUUUGCUUUAUAAGAAAAUCUUUUAAACAGAAAUUCUUGUAUCGGUUUAAUCAGAGUUAUACAGUCUCCCACUGACCAAUUUCUAAUCUCUCAAUUUAAUUCGCAAACAAUAUGCAAAAUUGGACUGACUUGCUAAGUUGAUAAUGAAAACUGUUUUAGCUCGAAUAGAGACUAUACACAUUCUAUUACCAUUAUGCAGCAAAGACAAGUAAUUUCUCCUGCCCUCUAUCUACAUCUCCAACCAAACUUCUUACACAAAUUUUUAGCUUAAUAACCCAUCUAGUAAUGUAGACAUUUGAUAUCCUACUGGAACCUAAGUUCUGAUAUAAGCCGUUUUAUCUGUCGGAACCCUGCUGCAAUGUCUUAAUUUUGGGUCCUUGAGACAAGUGUUCAACGUGGGAAUCGAAUCUGAGAUCAGAAGGUGGAAUGAAGCAAUCCAUAGACAAGCCAGGGACAUUGAACGCAAUUUCAUCAAUCACCCAUUCUUCUUGCAUCGUAGUCUUAGUGUUAUAUCCCGAUGACACAUCACCAAACCUCAAAAGCGUAGCCACGGAUCUACCAGAGUGAGCUAUCACGAUACCUUCCACAGGUUUGUAGUCUUCUAAGUAGGAAUUGAUAGUCGUCUCCCAGUAAACAGCUUCACCUCCUAUGUUUUGGAUUCGGGUUAGCUGGGAGUCUUCUAAGUGAACAAGAAGGCCCGUUUUUUGGCUGAAGUAACCGAACAGAGUAUGUCUUAUGGUCUCUGAUGCCCCUUCGCUUCUAGCUUUGAGUGUUGCCGGGUCUGCACAUAGCUUGAGAAUGAAACAGUCCUCUCACGGGGCUCUUGGAGCGUGAUCGGUGGGAAUGUGACUUGGAGAACAAGCCGUGCUUCUUAUCCAUAGGUUUGAAGGGUUUGGUGCUAAAGCUUGAGCAAAGGAAAGGACAAGUGUUAGCGUUAAACGGAAGGUUGCAUAUUAAUGUCCAUCUUAAUCAUAUUUAUGUCCACAUUAAUUAAGUUUUAUUAGCAAAUUUCUUUUGGAAUUUAUUUAAUUAGCAAUUUCCGAAUUUUGUUUUGUUCUUCGGCUAUUUAUUUCG